CAGGGCUCUGCCUCCCGCCUGCCCAGCGCCCGCAGGAGCGGCUGAAGGCGCGGUGCUGGGGCGGGCCCGGGCACGGAGCGCUCGGCAGCAGGGAUGGCAUCCUGCUGGGAGAAGGAGGAAGGGGGAGCCGCUGGGCAGACUGCGUGCAGAGAGGCUGCCAAGAAGCAUUUCGGAGCACCCAGUCGUGUUGGUUGAAUGUCUGCUGAUGAAAAACUAACCUGGGUACUUCUGCACAAAGGGGGUGGAGCCAUAAAAAUGCAUUUUAAAAAUGCAGGAAUCCAGACAGAAUCUAGAGUGAGAGCUGACACCAUGUGCUCAGGUCAGCUUUUGCACAGCAAAAGUCUCUCAGUAGAAAAAUUCUGCAGCAAUGCCAUGACACAGAAGAAGAGUUACAGGCUACUUUUCAAAUCAAUUUAAUGCAAGUAUAGAACAUAUUUGUGUUCUUUUAAUUUGGUUUUGGUUUUGUAUAGGAAUAUGCAUACCCUCCAGUGAAUCCCUAUUCCCACUACAAUUCUGCAAAAUGUCAUAAAAUUCCAUUCUAAUAUUCUAAUUCAUGUGGUUUUCUUUUUUUUUUUUCCCACUUUAACAUUAAUGAUCCUUCUAUACCCAGGACUGAGCUUUUAAAAGUAUGUCCACUUCCCUUGAACAACUGACCCCUUAAUAUUUUUUCUUCAUCUCUCUGUCUCUUGUACCACAUUAACUCUUCAGUGUGACCCAUGACAUUCAUUCCUACCAUGCAUCCUCAUUUGCUAUCCAAACUCAGAAGUAACUGUGUCACCUUGACCCUGGUGCAGCCAUUCCCCUCAUCAUUCUAGUCCAAAACGGUUCCUCACAUUGCACUUUCCUGCUACAUCUCUGACUGCAAAGGGAAACAAAUGCUUGUCCCAGGAAAGGGAUGAAUCUUUACCAGUUGCCAAGGGAACACACUGGAAAAACACAAGCAAGAACGCUAAGUUGCAUCACCCUCUUGCAUUGGAUAAUGUUUGUCAUUCAACCACUUCUCCCUCCAUAGUUCUUCAUCCUGGAAAUUGAAUUCCUAUAAUGAUCUUCUCAGAGUUCCCAGAAGAUCAGGGCUGUAGAGUUUGCCAGGAUAUGUGGUUUUGGGGGUAUGUGGCAUGAAUGAGUUAUAUCAUGUUCACUGUGGACUGAACCAUCAAAUGACAGGAAAUCAAUCUCCAUGCAGCAGAAAGAGCUACUGCUUUUAGUCUCAUGUGACCUACAGAACAUUUGUAGAUAAAUCCAUUUCUUAAACAUCUUGUGAAGAUUAUACUUUCAUCAUUUGCUUUUUGCCUUCCUCUUAUUAUUUGUAAUUAUAAUUGAUUCAUUUGAAAAUUUCUUCUCUUUUCUAAUCUAAAUAGCUGUAUCAUUUGGUCUAGGGAAAGACAUUGGAUCUGUCUGUGAAACAUAGGUAUAACAAGAGAGCUGUAUUCAUGUGGCUGAAAAAUGUAGCAUUUAUAAAGAGCUGGAGACAGUCCAAGAUUACAAAAUUCACAACCACAAUGGAAUUUGUUCUAAAUUUGAGUGGUUUCAAAGAGGACUAAUGAUCUGAUGUGUUUAAGGGAAAGGGUUUCUCCUACAGAGGGCUUUUCAAUUUCAGCUGUUGCAUAUGAUUCCUUUUUUCCUUCAGAGUAAUGUCUGUCAACAAACAAUCAUAACAGAUUUGUUUGGAAAAUUUACGCUUUCAUUUUCCUCCACAGACAGGUUAUUUAGAUUCUCCAGACAGAAAUAUGUGUGCUAACUGCAACUGUUCAACAACUAGGAUUGCAACUACCUUAACAGAAGAUCUAACAUAAAAUAAAAAUGUUUCUAAUUCUUCUUCA
Long non-coding RNA from Chloebia gouldiae (Gouldian finch), 1820 nucleotides. The record is from Ensembl. Lineage: Eukaryota; Metazoa; Chordata; Aves; Passeriformes; Passeridae.